Hyla sarda is the source of this 1217-nucleotide long non-coding RNA. RefSeq lists it as uncharacterized. The transcript has 5 exons. The record is from RefSeq and is a predicted model, not a curated record. NCBI's taxonomy places the organism in Eukaryota, Metazoa, Chordata, Amphibia, Anura, Hylidae.
GUGACCCGGAAUAUAAGGGGGAUCGCGGGUGUCUAAGACACUCACAACCCACCUGAAGAAAUAGGAGUGAGGUGGCAGGAGUGCCACCCCUCCUAUCCCUGCUAUUGGUGGUCUAGAUGCGACCACCAAUAGCAGAUCGGGGGCGGGGGGUUAACUUUCGUUUCCCCCGUCCUGCCCACCCACAAUAGGUGGGGUAGGACGGGGAAACGAUGGAGGACCGGCGCCCGAGUCCACUUACCGAUCUGCGGAGGCUGCGGGCGACGAUCGAGUUCGGAGAUCGGCGGGCAGCAAUGUCUUGCAGCAGGCUCCCUGGAUCCGACGGAAGCCGCCAAUCAGAAAGCAGCAUGACUCAAAUAGAACUCCCGUGAGGUCACACAUGUGAUGUCAUCACCACUGUCAUCAGUGAGGGGCCUAAACUGUAGGAACCUAGGAAUGCAACUUCAUACCCGCCUGUGACUGAUGCACACUUUCCAGGCUGUGGGGCAGCACAUACACUGACACAUUGGCCCAAAUUCUAGAGGUAACCUCCUUUAGUAUGCCCAGAGGAAGGGCAGUACAGUAGCCAUGGAUUCCCUACAGGUUUCCUCCCCUCUGGAGGUUUUUCCUGUCUUGAGUUAGUUACUGUCCGCUCUUUGUGAGUGAUGGAGGUUACAUAAAAUCCCUACACAAACAUUUUAAUAAAUAAUAAAUAAAGUUUCCCUUUUUUUAAACUGUUCUUUGACUUGUUCGACUCAUUUAUUUUAUUUGUGUGUGUGAAAAAUAGUGUUAGCAAAAUGUGGAUGACAGAAGUGUCCAAAACUGCUCUCCUGCAGGAUCUGCACCAUGUGAUGAGCCAAUCAGAAAGCAGCAUGACUCAAAUAGAACUCCCGUGAGGUCACACAUGUGAUGUCAUCACCACUGUCAUCAGUGAGGGGCCUAAACUGUAGGAACCUAGGAAUGCAACUUCAUACCCGCCUGUGACUGAUGCACACUUUCCAGGCUGUGGGGCAGCACAUACACUGACACUUUGGCCCAAAUUCUAGAGGUAACCUCCUUUAGUAUGCCCAGAGGAAGGGCAGUACAGUAGCCAUGGAUUCCCUACAGGUUUCCUCCCCUCUGGAGGUUUUUCCUGUCCUGAGUUAGUUACUGUCCGCUCUUUGUGAGUGAUGGAGGUUACAUAAAAUCCCUACACAAACAUUUUAAUAAAUAAUAAAUAAAGUUCCUCUUUUUUAAACUGU